Eriocheir sinensis (Chinese mitten crab) is the source of this 2624-nucleotide long non-coding RNA. RefSeq lists it as uncharacterized. NCBI's taxonomy places the organism in Eukaryota, Metazoa, Arthropoda, Malacostraca, Decapoda, Varunidae. The record is from RefSeq and is a predicted model, not a curated record. The transcript has 3 exons.
AACUUCUGUAACCACAGUAAAAAGCAGUGGCUCAUAUUCAUCAAAACAAGCAAAGAAGAGAGAGAUCGUCUUCGCUGCCCCACCAGGGGGCACAAGCCCUCCCGGACCCCCCAUGGAUCCCAAUGGAGUGAUUCUCCAUAUCUACCAAGAAAUCUUCCCUUUUGUAAUGAUAGGCUAGAUUAAGUUAUGUAUUAGAUUUGGUGUAGGCAUGUUUGGGUGCCCGGUGGAGACCCAAUAAUGCUCUCCUUAGUAAAUAAAUAGUGACCAGUUGAAGUUAAAUAAUCACUCCGUAAUGUUUGUAACACAUUUUACAUAUAGCUACCACUUGCAGCGGCUAUGAAACGAGCACUAAAAUAAACAAUUCCAUCUCAUAGAAAAAAGCCUCCUGAGCACGAUGGUGGAUUUUUCAUAAAACGCCAAAUAAGUGAAGCACGGAACUAUUUAUAAAAACAUUUCACAUCAUCCCCUCGGGGGUGGUGCGAGGGUAAACUGGUUUGCAGCAGUGUGCGGGCCUCGUUGCCAUGACAACCCUCGCCUCGCCUUGCUUUUCGUGUGGCCACAGAAACUCAUCUUGCUGCUUUUGCUCUCGCUAGCUUUCUCGCUCCCUGUACAUGUGGCUGCGGCCUCAUCAGCCAGUGGCAUUGUAGAGUUUUGCUAUAGUUUCCCAAGCCUCCUUUUUCUUUUUUAUCAUUGCAUGAACCGUUCUUCUGUCAAGUACUACUGCUCGGUGUCUCUACAAGCUCCAGAAGUAGAGCAACUUCAUUUUGGGAUGAAUAUCGCUUAGUUUCCUCCAUUGCUGACUUGAACACAGCACGCAGAGUAUCAGGUGCAGUCGGUGUUUUGACCGUCAGAACGUUGAGAUGGACCAAAUAACAAGGGACAUUGUUACCAAUUAAAUUUUCUUUCGCCGCCAGUGUUACCAAAUCCCACCCGACAAAUCCGAGUGUUUAAGGAUAUGCAAAUUGUGACAACCCGAACAUUAGUGUGCGUGGGGACUGGCGUCGUUGCUGAUUUCGUGAGAUUUAAGAAUACGGCCGUUAGUGCUGCAGUGGCACUCAAAUUAAGCCACAAACCUCUCUGCAAGCAUAAACAAGGUGGCGAUCGCAUCUGUACCAACAACGGCAAUAAAAUAUUUCAACAAAAAAUACCAAUUACCGUUGAUGAGGUUUGGGGCCCCGUUCCACUGUCAGUGCAGCGCUCCGCAGGGCCGUCAGCAGUAACAAUGUUAGCCUCAAUAAUAAUCCUUGAUAUGCACUUAUUCACAACGUCGUAGUGAGUGAAUGAGUCUUAAUUGCUUCCAAGGAUAGCCUACAGAUGUCCUUUUAAUAAACAUGGCAUCAUUAUAGUCACUUGGCCAUGUUUUGGUUCGUGCUAAUCACAAUAUCUUUCCUAUUUAAUAGUAUCACAAAUAUCCAUUGUUUCAUUUUCCAUUAAUCUGAUAUUUUCUUUAUGUUAUCACAAUUCAGUGUCCAACGAUUAUUUUCCUGAACGUGCCUGUACAUUUGCAGGAGAGGCUUACAUAACUGAAUCUUAUAGAUCUUGGCCUCCUCUUUCCAACGGUGCCUUUGUUUUGUAGCUGUGAUGAAUAGUUUUUGAGAUAGAGCGGUUAAAAGAGAUCCCCCUCCCACGCUGGACUGCCCGAGCGCACCUUGGGGGAUAGUCUCGUUACGAGCACUUAGCAAGGAAAGGGUUAAAAGGGAUGGUGCUGCAAAGAAGAAAACAGGAACAGCGGAUACUAUGCCGGCAACAGGAAUGGGGUGUGAGCCUCGGCGGCUUGUAUGCUCUCCUGGACGUGACUGACUCACUUUCACCCUCCAUCUUGGGCGAUACAUCGGGUGUGUGUUGAUGCUGGGACCAAGAAGAAGAAGAGGAGAAAGAGGAGGAGAAGGAAGAUGAUGAUGAUAAAGGCAACAGGAAGAUCAGAAGAAGAAGAGGAGGAGGAAGAAUGGAAGAAGAACACACACACACGACAAACACCUUUUUAUAUAUUUUUCAUUUUUAUUAGUCCAUACAACAUACAUUAGCUAUAUACAUAUUAUACAACAUAUGCAUAACUAUAUACAUUAGAGCAUAGAGUGAGUGAGAGACUUGAGAGGUGAGAUAGAGAGUGGUGCCCCCCCCCCCCCCCCCCUUCUCUCUCUCUCACCUCACCACAGCUCACAGGACCCCACAGAUGUACCCCCCACAGACACGGUAUGUGUCUGUGGGGGGUACAUCUCAUGAAGGACCCCCUCCUCCCUCCCUCCCCCCCUUGCCAACAUAGCACCCACAUCAGUGUUACUAUGUAUAUGUGUUUUUCUAUUAAUAAAAAGUUAAUUUGUAAUGUUUGUGUGUUAUAUUCCUAUGAGAGAGAGGAAAAGGUAAAGAGGGAGAGAGAGAGAACGAAAUGAGAAGCAAAAGAGAGAGGAGGUAAGGGAAGGAGAGGGAUGAGGAAAGGAAAAGAAAGAACAGAAGAAAUGUACUGAUAAAAGAGAGAAAGGUAUCAGAAGGGAGGGAGAGAGAGAGAGAGAGAGAGAGAGAGGCAAGGUAAGGUAAUAAUAUUGAAUAGUAAUAGUGACUCAACUAACCUACUAACUAUGGGAUGACAGAAAGAGAUGACCAGAGAGAGAGAGAGAGAGAGAGAG